UAAUGCAUACCGUGCCUUCGUCGCGGGACGGUGACAAACACACGAUGUCCAUCGUAUUCAAACCCUAUAGCACCAGCAGGCGUAUGCAGUAUCUUUACUAGUUCAAUAUGGGGAUUUCGUACUACAUAAUAUGUCUUCAGUCGACGACGUUAUAAUGAUUGAAAUUGGCUUAUACUAACGAAAGAAUUGCAUAUAAACACUUACAAGCCACAUAUCUGAGUCCCAGUUCCUAAAAGCAUUUAUAAACUGUGGCGGCUCCAUGCCUUGUUUGACAGGCACAACGUCUUGUAUAGAAUUGCCUAUUUCACC
Pieris brassicae (large cabbage white) is the source of this 309-nucleotide long non-coding RNA. RefSeq lists it as uncharacterized. The transcript is spliced from 2 exons. The record is from RefSeq and is a predicted model, not a curated record. NCBI's taxonomy places the organism in Eukaryota, Metazoa, Arthropoda, Insecta, Lepidoptera, Pieridae.